UACUCCUUGAUCAGCUUGUCUUGUAAUUCAAACCACUUUCCUGUGGAGCAUCAAAAUGCUUGUUUCUCUGUGUUAAGCAUACAUGAUAAAGAAUCAGGAUGAUGCCCCACAACAUUUGCCUAUGUAUUAGAAAGCCAUCCUGAGGUACAUGGAAGGAAAUCGUGAUCUAUCUGGUCCUAAGGGAUGAUGGAAAAAGAGAUAAAAUGGAAAUACAAACUGUGAGCAGCUACUGCUCUGAACUGUAAACAUCAAUGUGUAGUUUUUGGCAGAUGGAGUGGUUCUAUUUUGUUGGUUUUCAGAACUGAGGUCAUAAUGAAGAGGGGUGCUUGGGGCAUUCCUAUUUUGCCAAUAAAGUUGAGAUUCUUGGACGGUUGCAAGACAGACCAGAGUGAAAGCGUUUGCCAAAAAUGUUUUCAUUAAUUAAGAAAGUGGGAGGUUCGAAGAUGAUCAGAUACCAUCGUAGUUCCGACCACAAGCAAAGCCAACUGGAGAUGCAGUGGUGUUAUUCCCAUGACCCUCCGAGUAACUUCCUGAAAACCUAAGUGUUUGUGUUUGGGGGGAGUAUGGUUGCAAAGCUGAAACUUAAAGGAAUUGAUGGAAGUUCACCACUAGGAGAGGAGCCUGCAGCUUAAUUUGAGUCAACAUGGGAGAACUCACCCGGACCAGACAUGGACAGGAUUCAUCGCUCUUUCUUGAAUCCAUGGGUGGUGGUGCAUGUCUGUUCUUAUUUGGUGGAGCGAUGUGUCUGGUUAAUUCCAAUAAGGAAGGAGACUCUGGCAUGCUAACUAGUUAAGUGACCCCCUAGCAGUUAGCAUCACCCAACUUCUUAUAGGGACAAGUGGCAUUCAGCCACCUGAGCUUGAGCAAUAACAGGUGUGUGAUGCCCUUAGAUGUCUGAGGCUGCAUGCACACUACACUGACUGGCUCAGCGUGUGCCUACUCUAUGCCAGCAGGAGCGAGUAACCCAUUGAACCCUGUUCGUGACAGGGAUCAGGAAUUGCAAUUAUUCCCCAUGAAUGAGGAAUUCCCAGUAAGUGCAGGUCAUAAGCUUGCAUUAAUUAAGUCCCUGUCCUUUGUACACACUGCCUGUCACUACUACCAAUUGGGUGGUUAGGUGAAGCCCUCAGAUUGGCCCUGAAGGUGUCUGCCCAUGGCCCUGGUUGCGUGCUGAGUAGAAGUCGAACUUGGCUAUCUUUAGGAAGUAAAAGUCCCAACAAGGUUCCUGCAGGUGAACCUGCAGAAGGAUCAUUA
RNAcentral lists this non-coding RNA (1251 nucleotides) under Cricetulus griseus (Chinese hamster). RNAcentral describes it as "Eukaryotic small subunit ribosomal RNA". It matches the Rfam family "Eukaryotic small subunit ribosomal RNA", at positions 636 to 1831 of the family's 1831-position model. The record is from Rfam by way of RNAcentral. Lineage: Eukaryota; Metazoa; Chordata; Mammalia; Rodentia; Cricetidae.